Molecule: transfer RNA, 72 nt
Filed under: Saccharomyces cerevisiae CEN.PK113-7D
Lineage: Eukaryota; Fungi; Ascomycota; Saccharomycetes; Saccharomycetales; Saccharomycetaceae
Also listed under: 7 other names
Description: tRNA-Pro (TGG) (tRNA-Pro-TGG-3-1)
Rfam family: tRNA
About the family: Transfer RNA (tRNA) molecules are approximately 80 nucleotides in length.
Source: RNAcentral
GGGCGUGUGGUCUAGUGGUAUGAUUCUCGCUUUGGGUGCGAGAGGCCCUGGGUUCAAUUCCCAGCUGGCCCC